Plutella xylostella (diamondback moth) is the source of this 377-nucleotide long non-coding RNA. RefSeq lists it as uncharacterized. The record is from RefSeq and is a predicted model, not a curated record. NCBI's taxonomy places the organism in Eukaryota, Metazoa, Arthropoda, Insecta, Lepidoptera, Plutellidae.
AUUAUUAUACUUAUACUUUACCAUUGAUUGGACUAGUUAUACUGAAGAGAUUUUGAAAGAACUUAUUUUAUUUUAGUACAUCAUAAGUUGAGUGUCGAGGCACUUCUGCUGAAGACACAAUAUGGCAAUUGGAGCAUUGAUAAUGAUAGGUCUGCUGGUCCUGGGCACGUACUGGACCGUGAAGUACAUCACGAACCCAUUCGAGCACCGGAAUGUGACCGUAUCGACCACCUCCGCCAGCCCCGACUAUGUCAACAUUAUGUUCGAACAAUGAGUCCAGUGGAUCAUUGUUGUACCUACUCAUUAUACGUACUUAAUGGUCUUAUUAAUGCUGAUUGCUUAAUGGCUGAUCAAGUCUAUACGGAAUCCUCUCAUUU